AAUGAACGUUGGCGGCAUGGAUUAGGCAUGCAAGUCGGGGGAAUCCCAACAAUGGGGGAACCGGCGUAAGGGGCAGUAAGGCAUGGGUACCUACCUUGGGGUUCGGGAUAGCCAUCAGAGAUGGUGGGUAACGCCGGAUGACGUCGUGAGACCAAAGAUUUAUCGCCCUUAGAGGGGCCCAUGUGAUAUUAGCUAGUUGGUGGGGUAACGGCCCACCAAGGCGAAGAUGUCUAGCGGGUGUGAGAGCACGACCCGCGCCACUCGCACUGAGACACUGGCGAGACACCUACGGGUGGCUGCAGUCAAGGAUCUUCGGCAAUGAGCGCAAGCUUGACCGAGCGAUGCCGCGUGAGCGAUGAAGGCCUUCGGGUUGUAAAGCUCUUUAGUGGGGGAGAAAAGCCGCAAGGUGUGAUCUAUCCCAAAAAUAAGCACGGGCUAAGUUCGUGCCAGCCGCCGCAGUAA
This 462-nucleotide ribosomal RNA is filed under the name uncultured bacterium. Its description in RNAcentral is "partial 16S ribosomal RNA". It matches the Rfam family "Bacterial small subunit ribosomal RNA", at positions 29 to 523 of the family's 1533-position model. The record is from RNAcentral.